GAUGUUCUACUCACAACAUCUAUUGCUGUAAAGGUUUUGGGAAAAGAUUCGGGGAUGCAUUAUUCACACAUUAAAAAGGUGUCAUUGGGAGAACUAGAUGACAGAUGAAAUUUCUUUAGGUGAAGAUGGUAAUCGAGAGUACAAUACAAUACAACACAACAACGCAACACAACAAUGACAAGGAUGACGCAAUGACAACAGAUCACACAGACAGCAGACUCAUUACAAACAAGGUUUCUUAAGGACAAUGUACUGUUUGCACACAUUACGAGAACAUUGUUACAAUCACAACCACAAUCAAGAGGACAAAUUCAGCAACAUUCUUUGAGAACAUCAAUCAAUAAGAGAAACUGGCAACAUGUCAUUUUGCAAGUAGGCUAAAGGAGAAGAGAACAAGCUGCACAUGAAGAUUCUAAGGAUAGAACACUACAUGACAAUACAAGAGGUUUGAAUCAGGACAGAUAACCAUUCCAAAGCAAACAUUAUUUUUUAAGAUUAAAAAGAAAAUCAGGACAACUGAUCAACAUAUUCAAAAAGUUUGGAAGCAUGAACAAUGUGUAACACUUAGGGACAUCCCACUACACAAGGGAUGCUUUAAAGUUGGAGAAGAUCUCUCAGAUCCCAUAACCCAAUAUCUUCAUUUGACGGAGAGGGGAACUAAAGUGAGCCCCAGAGCUAUUAACUGGCUUACCCCAGGAUUGUGGGGUUCAGUCAAACUCCGAGGUGCCAAUUGUAAUACAGAAAUAAUGCAAGGUGCAGUUUUUGAAGAAGAAAAGGGAGGAUUGUGGAAAAGGCAUGAAGAAAGAGAGAAUUUACAAGCCAAGCCAAGCAUGCAAACCAAAGUAAAGGACAUGAUCUGUCAAUCAAGGUGAAGAUUCCGAACAGAAUGUCCCCAGGAAAGGCAGUUGGGAGCCUGGCCAGAGGAGAUAAACUGAAAAACUUCCUUCUUUGGGAGUUACUGACCAAGGGAGAAACUUCUUCUCUGGGGUUACUGACUAAAGGAAAAACUUCUUCUCUGGGGUUUUCUGACCUGGGUGGCUCUGACAAAGUGAUGGAGAAGAAGCUGGCAUUUCUAGCUUUGAAGUAUUUCUCUUGGUUUUGGAGAGAAACUUCCUUGGCUUCUGGCCGAAGGGGAAGAAGCUGAGAACUGAUUCCUGUUAGCUUUUGUCUCAGGCUAAAGGACCCUUGGGGGUAGGGGGGACUUUUGGAAUUAACCUGAGAAGAAAUUUACUUUUGUUAGUGGCUUUGUGUAAUUGGAAGAAGAAAGAAGAUUUAAGAGUUGUCCUCCAUCUCUCUGACUGUCCCUGAGUCACAAUUGUGACAAGACUGACAUUUCCCCAAAUCCUCCCAAUCCUCCUUAUAGAUUAGGGACAGCUUCAUCCCUCUCACCUCAAUUUCCAUCCUUUUUUUUUUUUGUUUUCCCAUUAAAUCUCCUUACCUGAGAAAAGAAGAGUAAAGGAUAUUUCUCUGAAACCUCAUAGUUCCCCUGAGUUACUUAGAAGGUAACUAAGACUGGGGGAGGGGAAAGGGAAGCAGAAAGGCAUGGUUGGAAACUGGGAGGUGAAGGGCGGUAUUGAAGGAGGAGUAGGUUAGGAAAAAUGUUGAUCUAUUAGCCAUCAAUAGUGAUCAAUAGACAACCCCAUAGUAGCCCCCUCUAGCAGCAUCUCUCUAUCUCUCAGAAGAAAUACCCCUAUCUCCAUUUAUAACUAGGCACCCACAGGUUUCCCUAGUAUAUGACCAGUCUAUCAGAGUAUCCAUUUACAACAACAAGAAAGAGUUCCACAGAUUAUCACAUUUAUUACAACUAGUCUUAAAAUACGGGUCUGAGCAUGAGAGGAUACCUUUUCUUGAAAUCCCAAAAUUCUAGGUUUCUCCAGAUAACUUACCCUACAUUUGAUCCCUACAUUUCAAGCAUCACUUAUGAUCUCAAACAUCCCUAAGUUUCUCAAGAUGCAUUACUUACCCACCUUUAUGAUCAGGAUAUCAUAAACAAUAUAUGUAAAUGAUUAGGCCUCUAGACCAAAAGGCACCUAUUCUCUCUUUCUUGAUUGCCUCCCUUGUUUGUUCCCAUUGUUCAUCUCCUUCCCCAUCUUUCCAAGUCACUUAGAUCACUCCCUUUAGGAUAUAAAAAUUCUGAACAUUUCUUUAUUCAGGGAGGCAGUUGGUCCUGCAUGCUGCCUCCUGAAAAUUUAACCUAAAUAAAUCUCUCGAUCUUUAAAGGCCUUCCACCGAGUCUGUCAUUCUUGAUAGGGAACCCUUGGGAGGUGGAGUCAAGAUGGCAGUUUAGAGGCAGCAAAACUCCAGACCUCCAAAAACCCUUCCUCACCAAUCAAAAACACAAUACUUUGAGGGAACAGAAAACCAAAUCUAACAACAGGACUCUAGAGAAUCAUCAAAAAGUAAUUAUGAAAACAAAAACAAAAACAUUUUUUUAGGGACCCAAUGAGUUAAAAUGAUUUGUAUCCCUAUAAGAAAAGAGGAUAUUCGUAAAUCUUAAAAACUGUUAUUGUCACUUUGGUAGCAAGAAGAAUUAUAUUUAGAGGGAACAGUGACAAACUUUAUAGGACAAAAUGCAGAGAUAUAUAUAGAGAUAUUCAUGUGUGUAUGUCUGUAUGUGUAUCUAGAUAGAUAGAUAUAACUAGAGGUAAAAAAGAGGGUAAUACUAAGAGAAAUAGGAAAAGAGACAAAAUGAGAUAAAUUUAUAUUUCAUAAAGAAACACAUGGCAGGAGUGGGGAAGAACACCAAUACACUGGAAGGGUAAAGAGGUUGGAGACAGGAAAUAUUUAAUUCUUACAUGCAUCAUUUGAAUUUGGGUCCAUUUCAGACUCAAAGAAGGAAGAACAAUCAGAUCCAUUGGGGCAGAGAAUUGAGCUUCACCCUAUAGAGAUGUAGAAGGUUAACAAAUGGACUGGUGGGGAGGGAAGCAAUACAGGGGAGGGAGAGUUUGGGGACUAGUUUAAAGAUAUCUUAAAGAAAAAUAAAAGUGAAGUAAGAAGGGGGUAGAAAGGGAAGUAAAAUAAGGGUGGGAAUUAGGGGGACUGAUUAAAAAUGAAACACUGGUGUAGAAGGAAGUGGUGAAAGAAGAAAGGGCAGGAUUAGGAGUGGAAAUCAAAAUGUUGGUAAAUACACAGCUGGUGAUCAGAACUCUGAAUGUGAAUGGAAUGAACUCACUCAUAAAACACAAGCAAAUAGCAGAGUGGAUUAGAAACCAAAAUCCUAUCACAUGUUGUCUACAAGAAACACACAUGAGGCAAGUAGACACACACAGGGUUAAGGUAAGUGAAUGGAGCAAAAUCUAUUGGGCAUCAACUGAGAAAAAGAAGACAGGAGUUGCAAUCAUGAUAUCUGACAAAGCCAAAGUAAAAACAGAUCUAGUUAAGAGAUAGGGAAGGUAAUUACAUCCUGAUAAAAGGCAGUAUAGACAACGAGGAAAUAUCAGUACUCAACAUGUAUGCACCAAAUAGCAUAGCAUCCAGAUUUCUAAGGGAGAAACUAGUGGAGUUGAAGGAGUAAAUAGAUAGUAAAACCAUACUAGUGGGAGGCCUGAACUUAACACUAUCAGAUUUAGAUGAAUCAAACCAAAAAAUAAAUAAGAAAAACAUAAGAGAUGUGAAUGAAAUCUUAGAAAAACUAGAGUUAAUGGAUAUGUGGAGAAAAAUAAAUAGGGACAAAAAAGGAUACACCUUCUUUUCAGCAGCACAUGGUACAUUCACAAAGAUUGACCACGUACUUGGGCAUAAAAACAUGGCAAACAAUUGCAAAAAAGCAGAAAUAAUAAAUGCAACAACACAAUGAAAAUAAUAAUUAGUAAGGGUACAUGGAGAGGCAAAUCAAAAAUUAAUUGGAAAUUAAAUAAUAUGAUUCUCCAAAAUCAGUUAGUUAAAAAACAAAUCAUAGAAACAAUUUAUAAUUAUCUUGAAGAAAAUGACAAUGAUAAGACAUUCUUUCCAAAAUCUAUGGGAUGAAGCUGACGCAGUACUCAGGGGGAAAUUUAUAUCCUUGAGUUCCUAUAUUAACAAAUUAGGGAGGAGAGAGAUCAAAGAAUUGGGCAUGCAAAUUAAAAAUCUAGAAAGUGAAUGAAUUAAAAAUCCUAAGAUGAAAACUAGAGUUACUAAACAUUAAUGGAGAAAAUAAUAAAAUCUAAAGUGAAAAAAAUAUUGAAUUAAUAAAUAAGACUAGAAGCUGGUACUUUGAAAAAACAAAUAAAAUAGAUAAAUCACUGGUUAAUCUAAUUUUUAAAAAGUAAAGAAGGGGGCAGCUGGGUAGCUCAGUGGAUUGAGAGCCAGGCCUAGAGACAGGAGGUCCUGGGUUCAAAUCUGACCUCAGACACUUCCCAGCUGUAUGUGACCCUGGGAAAGUCAUUUGACUCCCAUUGCCUAGCCCUUACCCCUCUUUUGCCUUGGAGCCAAUAAACAGUAUUGACUCCAAGAUGGAAGGUAAGUGUUUAAAAAAAAGUAAAGAAGAAAACCAAAUUAAUUGUAUCAAAGAUGAAAAGGAAGACCUCGCCUCUAAUGAAGAGGAAAUUAAGGCAAGCAUUAAAAACUAUUAUACCUAAUUAUAUGGUAAUAAAUAUGGCACUCUAGGUGAUAUGGAUGAAUAUUUACAAAAAUAUAAAUUUCCUAGAUUAACAGAAGAAAUUGAAUACAUAAGUAAUCCCAUAUAAGAAAAAGAAAUUGAACAAGCCAUCAAAGAACUCCCUAAGAAAAAAAACUCCAGGAUUAGAUGAAUUCACAAAUGAAUUCUAUCAAGCAUUCAAAGAACAACUAAUCCCAAUAAUAUACAAACUAUUUGACAGAAUAAGCAAAGGAGUCCUACCAACUUCCUUUUAUGACAGAAAUAUGAUACUGAUUCCAAACCCAGGCAGGUCAAAAACAGGGAAAGAAAACUAUAGACCAAUUUCCCUAAUGAAUACAGAUGAAAAAAAUCUUAAAUAGAAUACUAGCAAAAAAGAUUCCAGCAAGUGAUCAUGAGAUUACCAGGUGGAAUUUAUAUCAGAAAUGCAAGAAUGGGUUCAAUAUUAUGAAAACCAUCCACAUAAUUGACCAUAUCAGCAAGCAAACCAACAAUCACAUGAAUAUCGCAAUAGAUGCAGAAAAAGCCUUUGACAAAAUAUAACGCUCAAUCCUAUUGAAAACACUAGAAAGUAUAGGAAUAGAAGGGCCUUUCCUAAAAAUAAUAAACAGUAUCUAUCUAAAACCAUCAGUAAGCAUCAUCUGCAAUGGGGAUAAACUAGAAGCAUUCCCAAUAAGAUCAGGAGUAAAAGAAGGAUGCCUAUUAUUACCUCUAUUAUUUAACAUUUUGCUCGAAAUACUAGCAGUAGCAAUUAGAGAAGAAAAAAAGAAAUUGAAUGUCUUAAAAUAAAUACAGUUUAUGAUAAACCUAAAUAUCCCAGCUUUGGGGAAUCAAAAUCCACUAUCUGCCAAAAGUUGCUUGGAAAAUUGGAAAAAAGUAUGGAAGAGAUUAGGUUUAGAUCAACAUCUCGCACCCUACACCAUGAUAAACUCAGAAUGGUUGAAUGACUUGAAUAUAAAUAAGAAAGUAUAAGUAAAUUAGGUGAAAACAGAAUAGUAUACUUGUCAGAUCUUUGAGAAAGGAAAGACCAAGCAAGAGUUAGAAAAAAUUACAAAAUGCAAAUAAAAUAAAUAAUUUUGAUUACAUUAUAUUAAAAAGUUUUUGUACAAAUAAAAUCAAUGCAACUAAAAUCAGAAGGGAAGCAACAAAUUGGCAAAAAAUCUUUAUAACAAAAACCUCUGACGAAGGUCUAAUUACUCAUAUUUAUAAGGAGCUAAAUCAAUUGUACAAAAAAAUCAAGCCAUUCCCCAAUUGAUAAAUGGGCAAGGGACAGACAAUUUUCAAAUAAAUAAAUCAAAACUAUUAAUAAGCACAUAAUAAAGUGUUCUAAAUUUCUUAUAAUCAGAUAAACGUAAAUUAAAACAACUCUGAGGUAUCACCUCACACCUAGCAGAUUGGCUUACAUGACAGCAAAGGAAAGUAAUAAAUUUCGGAGGAGGUGUUGCAAAAUUGGGACAUUAUUUCAUUCCUGGUGGAGUUGUGAAUUGAUCCAACCAUUCUGAAAAGCAAUUUGGAACUAUUCCCAAAAGGCACUAAAAGACUGUCUGCCCUUUGAUCCAGUCAUAGCACUGUCGGAUUUGUACCCCAAAGAGAUAAUAAGGAAAAAGACUUGUACAAGAAUAUUCAUAGCUGCAUUCUUUGUGGUGGCAAAAAAAAUUGGAAAAUGAGGGGAUGCCCUUCGAUUGGAGAAUAACUGAACAAAUUGUGGUAUCUGGUGGUGAUGGAAUACAAUUAUGCUCAAAGGAAUAAUGAACUGGAGGAAUUCCAUGUGAACUCGAAUGACCUCCAGAACUGAUGCAGAGUGAAAGGAACAGAACCUGGAGAACAUUAUACACAGAGACUGAUGUGGUACAAUUGAAUGUAAUGGACUUCUGCACUAGUAACAAUGUGAUGAUCCAGAAGAAUUCGGAGAGACUUAUGAGAAAAAAUGCUAUCCACAUUCAGAGGAAGAAAUGUGGGAAUAGAAACACAGAAGGAAAACAACUGGAUUGAGGAUGGGUCAAUGGGGAUAUGAUCGGGGACACAGACUCUAAAUGAUCGCCCUAGUACAAAUAUCAAUAAUAUGGAAAUAGGUUUUGAUUAAGGAUACAUGUAAAACCCAAUGGAAUUGCACUAUGCCUAUGGGAGAGAGUGGUGAGGAGGGGAGGGAAAGAACAUGAUUCUUGUAACCAAGGAAAAAUAUUCUAAAUUAACUAAAUAUUUUCCAAAACUAAAAAAAGAGCACCCUCCCUGGACCAAGGGUUAAUCUCCAGCCUCCCACAACAGAUUCAGGACCUUGGAUUCCUUAAUAAUUUAUAGCGAUUCAUAAAACUCUUGCCCUCAUACUUAGUUAUUCACUCUCUGACUUUCAUACAUUUUCUUUUUUUAACAUGAACUCUUCAAAGAAGAUUCUGAUCAGCUAUAUUAGUUUCUGUGUGUAUAUUGCCCUCCUCUUCUUUUUGUCUUCUUUGGGAUAACAUUCCCCUGUGUAGUGAGAAUUUCAUUGUUCAAGAAUGUCUUACAUUUAAAGUAUAUUCCCUUUUAGAGACACCAGGUAUAGCACCAUAACUAUCUUUUCUCUUCAGCUAAAAUCUGUGACCCUUUCCAUUUCUAAGGCUGAUCUUUCUUCCAGUGCCCCAUUUCUCCUACUUGAAAGAAAGAAUGGGGCAGGUGAUAGGAUAUGUAAUCCCAAACUUGAGAUGAAAAUUAAUAAAAUCAAGUUAUCAGAAAAAAUGCCAUGAUUCACUUGUAAUAUAUAUAGUCCUAUUGAAACCUUUAAAAAAACUGGAAUUAAUUCAUCUCUCAUGUGAGUUUAGACAUAAUUUGUUUCUGUUUUGGCUAACAUAGCUAAAAAAGAUAUGUUGUAAAAGAAUGAUCUUUCAAGAAAGAGAAGGAAAGAAUGAAACAAUGAACCAUACCAAGACCUGAAUGAACCACAAUAGUUAUAUGCCACAAAAUCAAUGGGCAAGUUUAUGUGUAAGGAUAAGAGGUAAAUGUAAUUGAAGGUCAGACUCAAUAACCUAAGAAAAUAAUAACUCUUAUUACUAGGUCAAAGUGUUAUAAUUUAAUCUAAUGAAGAAUGGAAGACUUUGAUUUGAAUCCCUCCUAUGACAUCACAUGACAUGUGACAAUGGGCAAAUUUUCCUUUGUAAUUCAGUGUCCUCAGAUGGGUAAAAUAAUAUUUAAUGUGCCCAUAUACUUCAUGUGACACCAUGGGAUAGAAGACUUUAGAAAGCCUGCUUCAGUGUCAGGAGGAUAUAAGUUAGAGCUAACAUUAGCUUUGUGACCUCUGAUAUGUCAUUUGAUUUCUAGGUCCCCCAGGACACUCUUCAAGACUAUAAGUAGCAUAAUGGUUGCUGAUAUUCAUUGACAGAGGAAAUUUCCUCACCAGGGAGUUCCUACCCCAAUAGAUUUAGAGGUCUGGAUGAUAAAAGAAUUCUAUCUAUUUGGAAGGGCCAAAAUGGGUGAGUUCAAAGAUCCAUGUGGGAGUAUACAACUUACAGGAUUGCUAUAGAUCUCAAAUGCUGUCUAUGAGUAAUGUUUUGCAAAUUUUAAAAUGUUAUAGACACUUCUGGAUAAGCAUGGUGGCAGUCUAAAUGCGGGUUACUUACUCUCUCCAGCACACACCAACAAGGACUACCCCAAAAGACCUUAAGAAUCAUUUUCAGAGGAGUGAAGGAGCUGUACAGUAGGGCGCAGCAUUGAAGGUGUGUGGGAUUGGGGCUUUUCCAGUCUAUAAGAGGGUGAAAGGGAUUCCACCCAAACACUAGCCAAUCCAUCCUCCUCUACCCCCAUCUACAGAGCCAGAGCCAGAGCCAGCGCACGGCAAGAUGAAUGAUCAAGGGGCUCCUCUGGAAUGAGUAGGGGGCACUUAUGGGUCCUUGGGAGCUGACUAGGAAUACAUGGGACCCACCACUGAAAGCAGCUAGGCGGAAAAACCCCAGCACAUGAGAAAACACAGACCUUGGGUGCCCAGAGCCAGCAUGCCCGCCAGAGCCAGAGAGUGAGCGAAGAGUGCUUCUGGAGUGAGCAGGGGACACUUCUGGGUCCUCGGGAGCUGACUAGGACUGCAGGGGACUCACCCCUGAAAUCAGCGAUACUGGAAAACCAGGCAGGCAGGAGAGCACAGAUCCUGAGCUCCCCUGGGAGGGUGGCACCGAGAAGAGAUGCAAAGGACUAUGGAGAAUCAAGAGCUUGCCCCAGGCAAAAUCCUUGCUCCUUAUGCGCAGAGAACCUGCCCAGCUGAUUCAGAUUUCUAACUAAAGAGGGAAGGGAAAACAUCCAGAGAAAACAUCCAGAAAAAUGGCUAAUUGUGCACAGGAGCCUCAAAAUCCUUCCCAAAAACCCAAUAAGAAGGCUGUGAUCCUUGAGAAUUUUUAUGGAGGAAAAAUGCAGGCUACAGAGGAAAUACUGGACGAAACUCAUACAAAGGCAAAAACAAAACAAAACAAAAAACAAACAAAACGAACAAACAAACAAACAAAAAAAAACAGAAAUUGUCCACAAGCCCUGGAAGAGUAUCAAAUGGAGCUUAUCAAAAAGAUGGAAGCCUUCUGGAAAGAGAAGUGGGAAAUGGUUCCAAAAAAUGAAGAAAUCAUAGCUGAAUACCAAAAGAUUAAAGCAGAAAACAAGGUCUUAAGGACCAGAACUGAGCAACUGGAAACCAAUGAUCUUGCAAAAGAGCAAGAAUUAAUGAAGCAAAGUCAAAAGACUGACAAAAUAGAAGAAAACAUAAAAUAUUUCACUGACAAGGUGACAGAUCCAGAAAACAGAGAAAGGAGACACAAUUUGAGAAUCAUUGGUCUACCUGAAAAGUCAGAAAUAAACCGAAAUCUUGACACCAUACUACAAGAGAUCAUCCAAGAAAACUGCCCUGAAGUUCUUGAACAAGGGAGCAAAAGAGACGUUGAAAGAGUUCAUAGAACACCCUCUACACUAACCCCCCCCCCCAAAACAACUCCCAGAAAUGUAAUUGUCAAAUCCCAGCUCUUUCAAGCUAAGGAGAAAAUCCUACAAGAAGCCAAAAAGAAACAAUUCAUAUACAAAGAAGCACCAAUCAGGAUCACACAAGACCUGGUAUCUUCAACAGUAAAAGUCCACAAGGCCUGGAACACGAUAUUCAGAAAGGCAAGAGAACUGGGUCUUUAACCAAGAAUCACGUAUCCAUCAAAACUGACUAUAUACUUUCAGAGGAAAGUAUGCGCAUUCAACAAAAUAGAAGAUUUCCAAGUAUUUGUAAGGAAAAGACGAGAAUUAAGUGGAAACUUUGAUAUCCAAAUACAAAGAUCAAGAGAAACAUGAAAAGGUAAAUAUGAAAAAAAAGGGAAAAGGAGAAAAAUGUUUUUUCCCUUUUUUUAUUCAAACUCUGUUCUUUAAGGACUACAAUUAGAUAAAAUUAUAUAUAUUAAUAUAUGGGGAAAUGUUAUUUAUAACUCUCAAAAAUGUUUUUUAUUAUUAUAGUAGAAGAACGAUUCAUACGAAAAGAUUGGGGCAUUAAAGGCUGUAAAAUGAUAUAAAAAAGGUACUAAGAUGAUGGUACUAAGAAAUAUUUGAAGAAAUGAAAUAAAUAGAAUAAUCUUUGUCACACAAAGAUACACAUGGGAAGGGGAGGGGAAGAAUACUCUCAUAAGAGGGAGAAGAAGAGAGUGCUAAUAGGUAAUACUCAAAUAUUACUCUCAGUGAAAUCAAUUCUGAGAGGGAAGUGCAUCUAGAUCCAUGGGGAUCUUGAAGACUAUCUUAUCCUACAGGAUAAGUGAGAAAGGAACACUAAGGGGGGUAGGGCGGAAGGAAUUAAAAAAAGGGAGCAAAGGAGAGGGGGGAGAGAAUUUAACAGACCCUAAAAAAAACAAGAAGGAAACAAAAAGGGAGGGGCCAAAAAGGGAAGCAUAUCAAGGGAGGGGAAUAGGGGGAUCGACUAAAAGUAAACCACUGGUUUAGAAAGAUAUAGUAAAAGAAGAAAGAUCAGAACUAGGAGAGGAUAUCAAAAUGCUAGGGAACUCAAAAGUGACAAUCAUAACUUUGAUCGUGAAUGGGAUGAACUCACCCAUAAAACGCAGACGAUUAGGAGAGUGGAUUAGCAUCCAGAAUCCUACAAUAUGUUAUCUACAGGAAACACACAUGAGGUGAGUAGAUACUCACGAGGUCAGAAUUAAAGGGUGGAGGAAGACUUAUUGGGGCCUCAACUGACAGAAAGAAGGCAGGAGCUGAAAUCAUGAUAACUGACAACGCUAAAGUAAAAAUAGACCUGAUUAAAAGGGAUAGGGAAGGUAAAUACAUCCUGAUAAAAGGGAGUAUCGAUAAUGAGGAAAUAUCACUAAUCGAUAUGUAUUCACCAAGUGGUGUAGCACCCAAAUUUCUAAUGGAGAAACUAGUAGAAUUGAAGAGGAAAUAGAUAGUAAAACUAUACUAGUAGGAGAACUGAACCUACCACUAUCAAAUUUAGAUAAAUCAAAUAAAAAUAAUAAUAAAGAGGUAAAAGAGGUGAAUGAAAUCUAAGAAAAAUUAGAGUUAGUAGAUAUAUGGAGAAAAGUAAAUAGGGACAAAAAGGAAUACACCUUCUUUUCAGCAGCACAUGACACAUUCACAAAUAUUGGCCAUAUAUUAGGUUAUAAAAACAUGGCAUACAAAUGCAGAAAAGCAGAAAUAAUAAAUACAAACUUUUCAGAUCAUAAGGCAAUAAAAAUAAUGAUCAGUAAGGGUACAUGGAGAGCCAAAUCAAAAAUUAAUUGGAAAUUAAAUAAUAUGAUUCUCCAAAAUCAACUAGUCGGAGAACAAAUCAUAGAAACAAUUAAUAAUUUCAUUGAAGAAAAUGACAAUGAUGAGACAUCCUUUCAAAGUCUAUGGGAUGCAGCCAAAACAGUAUUCAGGGGAAAAUUUAUAUCCUUGAGUUCAUAUAUUAACAAAUUACACAGGGCAGAGAUCAAUGAAUUGGACAUGCAAAUCAAAAAACUUGAAAGCAAACAAAUUAAAAACCCCCCAAAGAAAACCAAAUUAGAGAUCCUAAAAAUUAAGGGAGAAAUUAAUAAAAUCAAAAGUGAUAGAACUAUUGAACUAAUAGAUAACAAUAGAAGCUGGUAUUUUGAAAAAACAAACAAAAUAGACAAAAUAUUGGUCAAUCUAAUAAAAAAAGAGGAAAGAAGAAAAUCAAAUUAACAGUAUUAGGGAUGCAAAGGGAGAACUCACCUCCAAUGAAGAGGAAAUUAAGGCAAUCAUUAAAAACUAUUUUGCCCAAUUAUAUGGCAAUAAACAUGCCAAUCUAAGUGAUAUUGAUGAAUAUUUACAAAAAUAUUAAUUACCUAUAUUAAUAGAAGAAGAAAUAGAAUUCUUAAACAAUCCCAUAUCAAAAAAAGAAAUUGAACAGGCCAUCAAAGAACUCCCAAAGAAAAAAAAUCCCCAGGGCCUGAUGGAUUCACAAGUGAAUUUUAUCAAACAUUCAAAGAACAGCUAAUCCCAAUACUAUACAAACUAUUUGACAUACUAAGCAAAGAGGGAGUUCUACCAAAUUCAUUUUAUGACACAAAUAUGGUACUGAUCCCAAAGCCAGGCAGGCCAAAAACGGAGAAAGAAAACUACAGACCAAUCUCCUUAAUGAACAUAGAUGCAAAAAUCUUAAAUAGGAUACUAGCAAAAAGACUCCAGCAAGUCAUCACGAGGGUUAUUAACUUUGAUCAGGUGGGAUUUAUACUACAAAUGCAAGACUGGUUUAAUAUUGGGAAAACCAUCCACAUAAUUGACCAUAUCAAUAACCAAAUUAAUAGAAAUCAUAUUAUACCAGGAAUGCAAGGAUGGUUCAAUAUCAUGAAAACCAUCCACAUAAUUGACCAUAUCAACAAGCAAACCAAAAAAACACAUGAUUAUCUCAAUAGACGCAGCAAAAGCCUUCGACAAAAUACAAUACCCAUUCCUAUUAAAAACACUAGAACGUAUAAUAGGAAUAGAAGGAUCUUUCCUAAAAAUAAUAACCAGUAUCAACCUGAAACCAUCAGCCAACAUCAUCUGCAAUGGGGAUAAACUAGAUGCAUUCCCAAUAAGAUUAGGAGUGAAAUAACAUGCCCCUUAUCACCUUUAUUAUUCAACAUUGUACUAGAAACAUUAGCAGUAGCAAUUAGAGAAGAAAAAGAAAUUGAAGGUAUUAAAAUUGGCAAUGAGGAGGCCAAGCUAUCACUCUUUGUGGAUGAUAUGAUGGUCUACAUAAGAAUCCUAGAGAAUCAAUUACAAAGCUAGUGGAAAUAAUCAACAACUUUAAUAAAGUUGCAGGAUUCAAAAUAAACCCACAUAAGUCAUCAGCAUUUCUAUCUAUCUCCAGUACAUCUCAGCAGCAAGAAUUAGAAAAAGAAAUUCCAUUCAAAAUCACCUUAGACAAUAUAAAAUACUUGGGAAUCUAUCUCCCGAGACAAACACAGGAACUAUAUGAACGCAACUACAAAACACUUUCCACACAACUAAAACUAGUUUUGAGUAAUUGGAAAAACAUUAACUGCUCAUGGGUAGGAUGAGAUAAUAUAAUAAAAAUGACCAUCCUACCCAAACUUAUCCAUCUAUUUAGUGCCAUACCCACUAAACUUUCAAAAAACGUUUUUACUGAACUAGAAAAAACCAUAACAAAGUUCAUUUGGAAGAACAAAAGAUCAAGGAUAUCCAGGGAAAUAAUGAAAAAAAAUACAAAAGAAGGUUGCCUUGCAGUCCCAGAUCUCAAAUUAUAUUAUAAAGCAGUGGUCAUCAAGACAAUUUGGUACUGGCUAAUGUAAAAAUGGAGAUUUGAACCCCGGACUUCAAUCCCCAGAAGUCCUUGGUAGUUCCCAGAAUUCCCCAAAAUCCCACCUGAGAUACCCACCUGGGCUGAGAACAAAAUGGGUAUUUAAACUGACUGUAUCGCCUACCUCUCUCCCUGCUUCUGCUUCCUAGCACACGCGGCUCUCUACCUAUUAGGCAAGAUGUAGAGUAAGUGGCUGUGAAUGGGCUCUGGGCCUAGACUUGUGCUUUCUUAUUUCUUUAUUUCUUAAUAUUUAAUAAACCUCAUAAAAAUAUAAUACUUUUAGCAGAGAAACUAAUUUUAACUGUUACAGUUUUGGUGAACCAUGUUGGUUAUGACAAAAUACCCUCAAUCUUUUAAUAGCUAGUGCCUAUUUUUUAAAGUCACAUUUGCAAGCCUCUUGACUCAUCCCAGCUGCUACCUGCCUGUUUCUGGGACCCCAGUGGCUGCUGCUCCUGGUCUUUCUCUUGCUUUCCUGGCUCAGCUGAUUCCUGCACCCUUACCUCUGACCCAGAUGGCUCAUCACCCCACGCUAAGCCCAGGACCCAGGCUUCUGGUAGCAGACCCAAAUUCUUCAGGAUCAAAAACCAGCUGGUAAAAAAACGGGGGGGGGGGUGAUUUUUCUUUAUGCUACAAUUAGCCUCCAUGUGGCAAGGGGCAGGGGAUAGCAGAGGGAGAGAAAGAGGGAAAGUAGGAAGAGACUUUUCCAAACAGGAACUUAAAGCAUGGCUAUUUUAAAAGGAUAUCUUUUGACUGUAUUGAUUCUUUCACUUAGCUCACCUGGGAGCCAGGGGAAAAAUUCAACUCCCUGCAACUCUUUAGCCAAAUUUGAGAUUCCUAAAAUCCACCCUUACUAUGGGGAGGCAGAUCAGCAGCUCAGUGUAUUGAGAGCCAUGCCUAGAAACGGGAGGUCCUUGGUUGAAAUCUGGCCUCAGACACUUCCUGGUGGUGUGGCCCUGGACGGGUCAUUUAACCCCCAUUGCCUAGCCAUUACCAAUCUUCUGCCUUCUGACAAUAGGCAUCUAAAUGGAUAAUUAAAAAAAAAAAACAAAAAAGGACCUUAAAGAGACUGGAGGUUAUAUUUUUAAGGCAUUUCAGACUCCAUGUUUUAUAAAAACCUCUGUAUUCUAUUGCAUUUUGCUGAUUGCUUUGUUUAAGAUUUAACUUUGUGAUUUUUAGUUCAUAUAUUACUGCAUUCAAUACUAUUCUUUUACACUGGAUCAUUUUAAUUUACUGGGUUUUAACUCCUAUUAUAUUCUGUUGCUUUUCCUCUAUAACUAUAUUGAACAAAUAUUAUUGAGUAAGCCCACAUAAAAACAGCUUUUCUAUUUUUGACUUUGUAAAUUGUCACAUAGAGGAUAGAUGUACUCCAUCAGAAAAUUGCUAUAACAACCUUUGGAAAAUUUAAUGAGCUAAAUAUCUCAAACUGAUUUUAAGUGUUCUUUAGACAUAAUUUAAAGAAUUUUUCUUAACAAUCUCUGGUCAUUUUGCCUGCCUGUAACAUGAGGUAAGGCCCAUUUUAGUAGCUGAAGUGAAAUACAAUUAUAAACCCCAAUUCCCGCAUUUAUAGGAAUGUGAAUGGAAUUUGGGAAGUUAAUCCCAGGGCAUUGUACCCCUAUAAGCCUCCUUCCCCCAAAAAGGGAGCAUCUCUCAUCUUUAACUCUUCAGCUCACUAUUUCCACUACUUCCAGAAUAUCUAGAAUUCUUGAUGAUGUUCUAGACCCAAAUGAGUUUUACUUUGUUUAAAAAUAUGUUUACCAAGGUUGAAAGUAUAUAUCCAUCAGUUCAUAGGCUUUAAAAAUGCCAUACAACAACUUAUGUGAAAUGUGAUAGUAGGUUUGUUUGCUAUUAUAAUUAACUGGACUAUUGAGAAUUUGUGGAUAUUGAUACCUAUAUGUUUGUACUAUUGUUCUUUAUUAAAAAAAAAACUGUUACCUUGUAAAAUUCAUUUGCUUGUACUCACAGUGGAUCAUGGCCAGAUAUGAAGAGGAAAUGGAUCUCAUUUUUGAUGAGAAAGCCUUGUAUUCUAUAUUUCCUUAGCUGACACAGUGUGUCAAUGAUUAUAAGCUACAUUUUUGAAUUUUUAAAACUCUUUUAUUAUUAUAUAUUUCUAGCAUGUGCAAUAUACUAUUUCAGUUUUUUUAUUUUUCUCUCCUUUUUAUAUUUGAUGCACAUGUCACCAGCAUUAAGAUUUUCUUUAACUUUUUUGAUUUUGCAGUAAUAUAAGUUUAAAAUCCUUUUGCUAACGCAUGCCCCAAAAGCUUGAGACUAUAAAAAUUAUGCCACUAAUUAUUUUUAAAAAUUAUGGGACUUUGCUUAAUGAUUCUGUGUGAU
This is a non-coding RNA of Monodelphis domestica (gray short-tailed opossum), 15638 nucleotides long. Lineage: Eukaryota; Metazoa; Chordata; Mammalia; Didelphimorphia; Didelphidae. The record is from RefSeq and is a predicted model, not a curated record.